ACUCCUGCGGGAGGCAGCAGUGAGGAAUAUUGGACAAUGGGUGGAAGCCUGAUCCAGCCAUCCCGCGUGCAGGAAGACGGCCCUAUGGGUUGUAAACUGCUUUUAUCUGGGGAUAAACCUACUUACGUGUAAGUAGCUGAAGGUACCAGACGAAUAAGCACCGGCUAACUCCGUGCCAGCAGCCGCGGUAAUACGGAGGGUGCAAGCGUUAUCCGGAUUUAUUGGGUUUAAAGGGUCCGUAGGCGGACUGAUAAGUCAGUGGUGAAAUCCGACAGCUUAACUGUCGAACUGCCAUUGAUACUGUUAGUCUUGAGUAAGGUUGAAGUGGCUGGAAUAAGUAGUGUAGCGGUGAAAUGCAUAGAUAUUACUUAGAACACCAAUUGCGAAGGCAGGUCACUAAGUCUUAACUGACGCUGAUGGACGAAAGCGUGGGGAGCGAACAGGAUUAGAAACCCGGGUAGUCCCA
This 466-nucleotide ribosomal RNA is filed under the name uncultured organism. Its description in RNAcentral is "partial 16S ribosomal RNA". It matches the Rfam family "Bacterial small subunit ribosomal RNA", at positions 335 to 797 of the family's 1533-position model. The record is from RNAcentral.